Molecule: small nucleolar RNA, 133 nt
Organism: Suncus etruscus (white-toothed pygmy shrew)
Lineage: Eukaryota; Metazoa; Chordata; Mammalia; Eulipotyphla; Soricidae
Source: RefSeq, a predicted model, not a curated record
GUUCAAACUUGACUGCUAAUUCUGCAUGAUGUUAAAGAAAGAAGGAGAACCAGGUUUUCUAAAAUACAUGCAGUGAUAGAAAUUGCUUAACUUCAGAUGGUGCCGAGGGGGCCUAUUUUAUCCUAGUAGAGGG